GUGGCUGUAGCUCAGUCGGUUAGAGCACCAGGUUGUGGACCUGGGGGUCGUGGGUUCAAUUCCCAUCAGCCACCCCA
Molecule: transfer RNA, 77 nt
Filed under: Pseudomonadota bacterium
Lineage: Bacteria; Pseudomonadati; Pseudomonadota
Also listed under: 1 other name
Description: Proteobacteria bacterium (cold seep metagenome) tRNA-His
Rfam family: tRNA
About the family: Transfer RNA (tRNA) molecules are approximately 80 nucleotides in length.
Source: RNAcentral